This 77-nucleotide transfer RNA is filed under the name Pantoea sp. Sc1. RNAcentral describes it as "tRNA-Asp". The stretch from base 20 to 77 matches the Rfam family "tRNA", at positions 1 to 55 of the family's 71-position model. From Rfam's summary of the family: Transfer RNA (tRNA) molecules are approximately 80 nucleotides in length. Their secondary structure includes four short double-helical elements and three loops (D, anti-codon, and T loops). Lineage: Bacteria; Pseudomonadati; Pseudomonadota; Gammaproteobacteria; Enterobacterales; Erwiniaceae. The record is from RNAcentral.
UCGACGGGGAACAAAGCGCGGAGCGGUAGUUCAGUUGGUUAGAAUACCUGCCUGUCACGCAGGGGGUCGCGGGUUCG